GCCCUCAUAACUGCCUGGCCCCAGAGAACCCAUGGAGGACCACCAGGCUUACAGUCACCCAUCGUCGCUCUGGGAAACACCAGUGACUGUCUCUGCCUUACUAGCCUGUUAAUUUCCAGUUGGCCACUGUGUGUUCACUGAUGGCAUGAGGAAGGUCUAGCAUGCAGAGACGUAUUUCUACUCCCCGUGCGGACCCCCUUUUAAGAAGGCUUCAAAAGGGACAUGCAGAGGAUGCUUAAAACCCACCCUUAUCAUUCUUACCAUUCUGCAAAGCGCAUGCCCUGCGUCUGUGGCUUGGGCAUGCCUCCCCUCCCCUGGAUGAUGAAUUCACGAGGGACCUCAUGGGCUGCUGAGAACAAGCACGCUUUUGAAUGAACUCUUUUACGGGUAUCAGUCCAAAAGUCACCAUCAGCUGCAACUGAAAAG
Molecule: long non-coding RNA, 426 nt
Organism: Acinonyx jubatus (cheetah)
Lineage: Eukaryota; Metazoa; Chordata; Mammalia; Carnivora; Felidae
Exons: 3
Source: RefSeq, a predicted model, not a curated record